UGGGGGAUAUUGCGCAAUGGGGGCAACCCUGACGCAGCAACGCCGCGUGAAGGAUGAAGGUUUUCGGAUUGUAAACUUCUUUUAUUAAGGACGAAAUUUGACGGUACUUAAUGAAUAAGCUCCGGCUAACUACGUGCCAGCAGCCGCGGUAAUACGUAGGGAGCAAGCGUUGUCCGGAUUUACUGGGUGUAAAGGGUGCGUAGGCGGCUUUGCAAGUCAGAUGUGAAAUCUAUGGGCUCAACCCAUAAACUGCAGUUGAAACUGUAGGGCUUGAGUGAAGUAGAGGCAGGCGGAAUUCCCCGUGGAGCGGUGAAAUGCGUAGAGAUGGGGAGGAACACCAGUGGCGAAGGCGGCCUGCUGGGCUUUAACUGACGCUGAGGCACGAAAGCGUGGGUAGCAAACA
This 403-nucleotide ribosomal RNA is filed under the name uncultured prokaryote. RNAcentral describes it as "bacterial SSU rRNA". It matches the Rfam family "Bacterial small subunit ribosomal RNA", at positions 355 to 774 of the family's 1533-position model. The record is from RNAcentral.